Neopsephotus bourkii (Bourke's parrot) is the source of this 863-nucleotide long non-coding RNA. RefSeq lists it as uncharacterized. The transcript is spliced from 3 exons. Lineage: Eukaryota; Metazoa; Chordata; Aves; Psittaciformes; Psittacidae. The record is from RefSeq and is a predicted model, not a curated record.
UCAAAAUUGAGUCAAUUAGAGAAUAAUUUGCAAGGAAAGCACUGGCUGCUGCAGGGUGCUUCUCUCAAGACAUUUAAGCCCAAGUUUUUGGUUUUAAGAACCUUCCAGCCCUUCCAUCUGCUCACCACAUUACUGUGUGUGUGUUUAUAGCUGCCCCAGCAGCCAAGGGGGGCUGGAAGCAGUACCCAGCUUUUUGGCAUCACCACCAGGAAGAGGUGGAGGGGAAAACAGCCCUGACUGGUUUUGUACAACAAGAGACCAUCAGUGACCAGUCACAAAAAUGGAGCAGCCACACGUGGAAACUGCACAAGGAAAAAAGCCAAAUGAUCUCAGCUGGCUGUAGGAGUGUCCUUCCCUCCUCAUGCUAUUGCAAAGCAACCAGCAAAGUAAAGCUUAUGCUAAUGACGGUGUCAUUUAGAAAUGAGGCUUGUAACAAAAGGGAAACAAAAGGAACCUGCACAGACAUCAAAGCUUCACAAAAGCUGAGGCCAUCCUGAAUAUUUUCUCAGUGGAAUUGGUUGGGUUUGUAACACCAGUAAGAAGACAAACUAUUGCAAAACUGAAGAAAUAGCAGAAAACAUUGAGAGAAAGGAAUGCAAAAAAGAUUGCUUUUGUAAGGACCAUCCUGCUCUUGUUGUCUUGGAUGUUUUCUUGCCUGUAUUUUCCAUGCACAGAAGCAAGUGUUGCAGGUAGGUCCCCAGUACUGAUGAAAUCCUGAAACAACUCUUGGCCUUGGGAUGUUAUUGCCUGGCUGCCACAGCACAAGGAGCAUGGGAUCCAUGCACACGUUUCUUCAGGACCUCCAACGGAUUCAGCAUUUCUGUAGCUGCUCCUCUUUCCCACAGUCCUGGAAUGGGUACUGC